Long non-coding RNA from Pipra filicauda (Wire-tailed manakin), 993 nucleotides. RefSeq lists it as uncharacterized. The transcript is spliced from 3 exons. NCBI's taxonomy places the organism in Eukaryota, Metazoa, Chordata, Aves, Passeriformes, Pipridae. The record is from RefSeq and is a predicted model, not a curated record.
GGAACCGGCGCGUUCAUCUUUUAUUCCAGCCUUUAUUCCAGCCGGCUCCCUCCCUGACCGCGGUGCCAACCCUCAGGCACCGCGAACGCGCGACUGGAAAACAAUGUGACGGAAAUGUUUAAUCUGCUCAGCCCAUCUGUGCCGCGUAUUUCUCCAGAUCUCCCCGAGAGAGGCGCCUUCCGAAUCUCCACAUUGCCUUUAAUAUUCUCCUAAAUCACCUCCCCACCGCACUUCAAGGGCCAUUGCUACAAUAUCACAGAGGGUUCUGGCCCGCUCCGAGCUCCACGUGGAAAAUGGGUGUGGAUGCUCAGAUGCCCCGAAACAACAUCAGCACAGGGUGGGCACAGCACUCCUGGGUGCCCCCAGCCUGGCACAGCCGAGAUGCUCCAGCUCAGCCAAUUAUUUUCGCCUCUGAAGUCCCGCACGCUCCCGCCGGGUGGAGACGAGCGGCCGCCGGAGUUAAAACUCCGCCUGUGACCUGGGAAGGGGGCUCGGGAUAAUCGCGUGUGCCGGGAACCAGCCGGCCCUGACCGCCCGGCAGAGGGGAGCGGGGAUGCGCAGGGGAGCGGAGAGUGCCGAUUCCCUGCUGCAUUUUAUCCAGAGAGCUAAAAUAGCUUUACACGGUAACACACAUCCCCUCCAAAGGUCACCCGAUUAUUUCCCCAAACCCUUGGGAUGGGUUUGGGGCACUGGGGGAGGCAGAGGGAACGAGGGGGAUAAACCCUGGGAUGGGGAGAAGGUGACGGAUCCACAACUUCACCGGGAAUUUGCAAAAACGCCCCGUUUUCUUCCUGCAUUCCCCACCCAGUGCAAAACCCCGAGCCCAGCCAGCCCCAAACUGCUGCCCCAAACUGCUGCUUCCCUCCUUCCUUGGGAUUCAGGCUCCUGAUUAAUGGGUGACCUCAAACCACCCGUCUUUCCCCCGGGAUUGAUGGGAGGGAUGUGGGGAAAGGAUGAGGGACCCCCGGGGGUGAGAGAAGCACCUGAACCGGG